GCUCAACAUCGCUCAUUAUUAGAGAAAUGCAAAUCAAAACUGCAGUGAGAUAUCACAUCAGUCAGAAUGGCCAUCAUCAAAAAGUCUACAAACAAGUAAACUCAAGUUGAAAUAAGAUAAUACUUUAUAAAACUAUUUGUGGUAUUCAGUUUUCUCUUUAAUAAUCAUGUGUGCCUGGUAUAAUCCAGGAGGUUAAGAAACCCUAAAAAGAGAAUACAAUUAGGAGUUUGCUAUUUUAGCUCUCUCAGGUCCAGAAAAGUUAAGCACCAGGUUUGGUUCUGUUUUGCAUUAAACAUGUAAUAUUGAUCAAGUCACUUAGCCUCCAUAAAUCAGACUUAAGAUAAAUAAAUAAUGACAUAUUUAUUUAUCUAUUUAUAUAUUUGCCAUAUUUACCUAUCGAUAUAUCCAUGAACUGUUUACCUAAAUAUCUGCCUCACAGAAUUAGGACACCUUAUAAGAAUAUAUAUGCUGAACCAAAACAAAUUGGAUAAACUGAAUAAACAAGUACAUAAAUACAUGUAAGUUUCAAAUAAAAUAUAGGCUAAAGGAGAAGAUAUGACAAAGAAACAAGCUUUGUUUUCUUUUCAGUUUUAAGUUAAGAAAUGGCGCCAACAUUGCAGGCUGAUGUAUCGAAUGAUUUUAUGUGAUAACUUGUAACUUGGCAGAUUUCCCUGGUGGCUCAGACUAUAAAGAAUCUGCCUGCAUGCAGGAGACCUGGGUUUGAUCCCUGGGUCAGGAAGAUCCCUGGAGAAGGGAAUGGCAACCCACUCCAGUAUUCUUGCCUGAAGAAUCCCAUGGACAGAGGAGCCUGGUGGGCUACAAGGGGUCCAUGGGGUUGCAGAGUUGGACACAACUGAGCAACUUACUGCUAACACAAUUUGUUAAGAUUAACACAUAUUACACCUUUUAUUUGUAGUAGUUGUAAUCUUAAAGAUGAGUAGGAUAACUUCAUGUUUAUUUGCCUUCACACCAUUUUGGCAUUCAUCUCCCCUCUGCACUGUAAUCUUUGUGAUUGUUGUGGAUGUUUAGUGGGUAUUACUGAGGGUGACACAGACUGGGUGAUAGAUUAUAUGCUAAGAUGGUCACCAGCAACCUCUCCUAUUCCUACAUGAGUGCUGGCCUCUCCUCUAGAAGUGUAGUUUAUUUUCCUUUCUCUUAAAUCUGGGAUGACCUUGCUUUGUCCAAAAGAAUGGAACAGAAGUAAUAUUGCACCAAGCUUUGUGAAGCGUUGCAACUUGUACUUUCAUUCUUUUUGGAGCCCUCUGAGACACAGUAUAAAAGAGUCCAUCUAUUCUGCUCAACAGAGAGGCGGUAAGAAGAGAAACAGGCCCCAGACAUCCUGGGCCAUUUCAGCCACACUAGCUGGAGCUCCAGACAGUUACCACUCCACUAUCUGAUCUAUCCACUCUCCAUGGAUUUUCAAGGAAGAUCAGUGAUGUUGUAAAAAAGGUCUUGACCUUUGAUUGGUACCCUCAGAAAAGACUAUCAGGCAUAAAGACCAAUAGGAACCCAAAGCAGUGAGAGAAGCUGAAAAUAAGGGAACUGUGCCUCUUAUCUCCAUGGAGGCUUUGGAGAGAAGGUGUUAAUGGUUAAUUUAUUUCUUCAUUUAUUCAGUCAAUGAACAUUAUUGCAGAAUCUUCAGUUGCAUAAUAAAUUUGAGAUGCUUCCAGUCAAGAAAAUUGCAUCACCUUUUCUGAUAUUCCUACCUCAUUUCAACAUCUAGUUAUCCUCUGUCUCAGAUAAGAUGCCUUUUGGAUCUAAUAUAGUUAGAGUAACCAUACUGGAACACUUCUGAAAUUGAAAUGGGCAUUGUUAACAAUUAUGCCAGAUAGUAUACACCAGGACUAUCUUAGGUAACCCAAGUGAUAUAUAACUUAAUCUAGGUAGUACCUAUCAUAUCUUCUUUCUUUACAUAUGUAACUAUAUAAUAUAUGUAUAUGUGUGUAUAUACAUGUAUGUAUGUGUAUAUAUAUGUAUGUAUGUAUGUAUAUGAACUAUAUAGAGCUUCCCUCGUAGCUCAGUUGGUAAAGAAUCUUCCUGAAAUGCUGGAGACCCAGGUUCAAUUCCUGGGUUGGGAAGAUCUGCUGGCAAAGGAAAUGGCAGCUCACUCCAGUAUUCUUGCCUGAAGAAUUCACAGGAGGCACCUGGCAGGCUACAGUCCAUGGGGUCGCAAAAGUUGGACAUGACUUAGCUUCUAAACCACCAUAAACUAUUUAAUAUAUACAUAUAUAUUAUAUAAUUUAUUUGGCAGAAGUAGGGAACUUUAACUGUAUUAGUAAGGUUCAUUAAGAUUGUAAUGAAUAAUUAAUUGUAGAUUAUCUUUGGUAGUAAGAGUUUGUUCCAAUAAAAAUAACAUGAAGGUGUGACUGGGAAGGUGUGCAGUCACUGUUGACUCUAGUCCUGUUCUUUCAAGAAUGGGUUGUUCAACAUCAUUCAGGAUAUAGACUGAGUUCCACUGUCUCGUCUUCUCUGGAGACGUGCCGUUGCUGGGCAGAGAUAUUGCCAAGUCCUCUCAAAGCGCUUGGCUUCCUUCACAUCGAGCACACUCACGUUUGCCUUGUUCAGUCAACAGUACCCAGGGAACAAAGAUGGUUUACCUCAAUAAAAAUGUUGUGAACUUUAUGUGGUCUUUUUGUAGGAAAAAGAAAAACUGAUUGAGGAUCAUUUACUCUGAAGUCAUAGCAUGCACGUAGAACAUUGUGAACAUUUCUCCAAUGAAACAAAUCUGCUAUAUUGUAUAUUUCCACUUAAACGUGUUUUGCUUUCAAUGAAGGAAGCAUAUAACUUCUUUGAUUGGGAUACCCAGAAAGGAAAUAACAUGGUUUCUAUCUCUUUUUCUCUGAGGCUUCACAGAGGUAAAGUAAGUAAAUUGUGGGAUGUGGUCCAUUAUGACCAUAAAGCUUAUUUGUUCAUUCGAUUACUCCUAUGUAGGAUUCUGUUACCAGAAGAAGUGGGGAGAGUGAAUGUGACAGGCAGACAAAAAUACAAAUACCAUCAUGCUGGACAAGUGAUAAAAGCUGAUAGAGUGAAGUAGAAAAUGUGUAGAACUUAACCCAAUGAUACUGCAAUGGGAGCAGCAGCUGCCCUCUAAGAUGAGAGUUUAGUUUGUCUGGAGAAGAAUGAUGUGUAGACAGUAUGAACUCAGAAUCACAUUGCCUAGAGAGGGUUUCAUAUUGAAAGAAAGCAUUAUGCAGGAAAGGGAGCUAAGGUUAUAACCUGGAAAAAAUCAAAUGCUGCCUUAAGCCACAGAGACUCAAAUAGAAGUAUAAAUAUGAUAAUGCAUACGAUAGAGACAGAAAAGUGAGGAAUGAAGGGAUGAGGGGUCAAGGUCAGAGACUUUUGUACAUGACUUCUUAAAUUUUACACAUCUGGUAGAGAAUUUUUCUUUUAAAUGUGGGUCCUAGCUUGUUUCACCAUAGUGAAAGAUAAUUCUUAAACAAGUUGAAAGGAACCAAAUUAGACAAAUUUCUAAUUUUUAAGGAAGUACACAGUAUUGAGACAGAAAGUCCCUUCCAUAGACACCCCACAGCCUGGAUUAAAAGCAUGAAGCCAGCAAGGGAGGCGACACAUGAGCAAGUGUUAUGGUUUUGAAGACAAGAGACCCUUGAGCAUUCACUCCUUCCAUGUUGUACUAAAUGCAAACACUAUUCAUAGUUUUUAUUUUCUAUUUAUUUAUUUUUUAAAAGCAAUUUAUUUGACUGCUCUAGCACACAGCAUCUUCAAUCUUCAUUGCAGCAUGUGGAGUCUAGUUCCCUGACCAGGGAUCAAACCUGGGCCCCUGCAUUAGGAGUGCAGAGUCUUAGCCAGUGGACCACCGCAAAAGUCCCUAUCCAUAGUCUUUCUAUGUGCUGCUGCCUGGCAGAGUGGAGACAUGAAGUAAAGUUUUAUUGGAUGAAUGUAUGAUUGGUACUAUUAUUUCCCUUCUCCCCCUUCAAAUGCAAACAAAGCCUGAAAGUCCAGCUUCCUUCUCUCUAACCACUGUGCAGGAACCAAGUCUAGAAGUGGAAUCAAACCUAAAGUGCUCCUUUUAGCAUUUUCCACAAGCUACAUACACUUUAACCUAUUCAACUUACUCAUGUCUAGACCCAGUGAAUUCUGUUAAUGAUACUUCUUUCCAAGGCCAACAGAACUAGUUACUAGGAUCUAAGAAGGAGCGUGUAUAGUUAACCAACCUGAGAGACAAGGAUACAGAACCCAGGUACUAAGUUAAGCAUGGAUCAAGGGCUUUUUGUGGCAGACACUGAGUUGAUAUUUAUCAAAUCCAUUUUUUCUUCUCCCUGAAACAUUUUUCUUUCUUGUUUGCAAUUAAAUGUGAUCAUGUUUUAGCUAAUUGAAUGUGAACAGCAGUGAUAUGUGCUAAUUUUAGACCGACUAAAUAACUUUCCAUCCCUCCAUGGCAUACAAUCUUUGUUCUCUUCUCUGUUCCCCUGGCUUAGUGAUAAUAAGAAUUUUGACCUGGGAUGCCAUAGUUUGAAGAUAGCAGAAUCACAAGAUAAAGAAGUCCCAAAUCUUCCCUUGAAGGAGAGCCACCUGCCACUCAGAUAUCUGUUUUGGAUUUUAUAUGAUAGAACCCAAAGGAAAAGAAAGAUAAGUAAAUCAGCAGAACCAUUGCCUUUGGAGGGACUUGGGGUCAGGCUGCAGAGAAUUAAAGGGCCAG
Dama dama (fallow deer) is the source of this 4657-nucleotide long non-coding RNA. RefSeq lists it as uncharacterized. Lineage: Eukaryota; Metazoa; Chordata; Mammalia; Artiodactyla; Cervidae. The transcript is spliced from 5 exons. The record is from RefSeq and is a predicted model, not a curated record.